This 23-nucleotide non-coding RNA is filed under the name Drosophila melanogaster (fruit fly). The record is from RNAcentral. Lineage: Eukaryota; Metazoa; Arthropoda; Insecta; Diptera; Drosophilidae.
UGUUUUCCCGAUGCAUCCGAUUG